This 988-nucleotide ribosomal RNA is filed under the name Haemophilus influenzae 6P18H1. Its description in RNAcentral is "partial 16S ribosomal RNA". The stretch from base 5 to 854 matches the Rfam family "Bacterial small subunit ribosomal RNA". Lineage: Bacteria; Pseudomonadati; Pseudomonadota; Gammaproteobacteria; Pasteurellales; Pasteurellaceae. The record is from RNAcentral.
ACUUGAAUUGAAGAGUUUGAUCAUGGCUCAGAUUGAACGCUGGCGGCAGGCUUAACACAUGCAAGUCGAACGGUAGCAGGAGAAAGCUUGCUUUCUUGCUGACGAGUGGCGGACGGGUGAGUAAUGCUUGGGAAUCUGGCUUAUGGAGGGGGAUAACGACGGGAAACUGUCGCUAAUACCGCGUAAUAUCGAAAGAUUAAAGUGUGGGACCUUCGGGCCACAUGCCAUAGGAUGAGCCCAAGUGGGAUUAGGUAGUUGGUGGGGUAAAGGCCUACCAAGCCUGCGAUCUCUAGCUGGUCUGAGAGGAUGACCAGCCACACUGGAACUGAGACACGGUCCAGACUCCUACGGGAGGCAGCAGUGGGGAAUAUUGCGCAAUGGGGGGAACCCUGACGCAGCCAUGCCGCGUGAAUGAAGAAGGCCUUAGGGUUGUAAAGUUCUUUCGGUAUUGAGGAAGGUUGAUGUGUUAAUAGCACAUCAAAUUGACGUUAAAUACAGAAAAAGCACCGGCUAACUCCGUGCCAGCAGCCCCGGAAAAACGGAAGGGGCCAACGUUAAUCCGGAUAACUGGGCGUAAAGGGAACGCAGGGGGUUAUUUAAAUGAGGUGGGAAAAGCCCCGGGCUUAACCUGGGAAUUGCAUUUCCGAACGGGGAAACAUAAAUAAUUUAAGGGGAGGGGGAAAAUUCCCCCGUGGUAACGGUGAAAAUGCCUAAAAAUUUGGGAAGAAAAACCAAAGGGGAAAAGCCACCCCCCUUGGGGAAAUGACAGGACCCUCUCUUGUCCAAAAAACCGGGGGGGAACAAAAAGAGAUAUAAAACCCCCGGGGUAACCCCCCACCCUUAUAAACACCUCUCCACAUUUGUGGGGGGGGGGGGGGGUUAUAAACCCUCUGGGGCCCGCCCCUACAACCUAAAACGGGAGAAAAAAAAUACACCACACCCCGCCCGGGGUGGGAGGAAAAACGCGCGCGCCCCCGCGGAGAGGGGA